UACUAGAGUAGCACUCGCAUAUCAAUAAGCGGAGGAAAAGAAACUAACAAGGAUUCCCCUAGUAACGGCGAGUGAAGCGGGAAGAGCUCAAAUUUGAAAUCUUAAAGGGUUUCCCUUUACGAAUUGUAGUUUAAAGAAGUGUUUUCUGUUGAGGUUUUGGUAAAAGUUCUUUGGAAUAGGACAUCAUAGAGGGUGAGAAUCCCGUAUUUGACCUUUACUUUCAACUUUGUGAUACACUUUCAAAGAGUCGGAUUGUUUGGGAAUGCAGUCCAAAAUGGGUGGUAAAUUUCAUCUAAAGCUAAAUAUUGGCGAGAGACCGAUAGCGAACAAGUACCGUGAGGGAAAGAUGAAAAGAACUUUGAAAAGAGAGUUAAACAGUACGUGAAAUUGUCAAAAGGGAAGCGUUUGACACCAGUGUUGUUUUUCUGAAAAUCAAUUAAAGAACUGUUUAUGCUAAGUUGUUUAGACUUUAUCAGCUAUCUGUUUAGUUUUGAGCUUUUCUUUAAUGCACUUUUCAGUUAACAAGUCAACAUCAAUUUCUUUUGCUGUAAAAAAGCUUGAGGAAGGUGGCUUGAGAUUCGUCUUAAGUGUUUAUAGCCUCUUGCCUAUGCAGUCGGAGAGAUUGAGGUCUGCAGCGUAGAUCCUUCGGGGCUAAAUGCAUUUGUGCUAAGUUAUAGCAUUUUAUAGGCAACUUGUUGACUAUGAUUUGUCUUGUAGCUUACUCGCUUAUGUUAUUUUACCUACGCUUAGGAUGUUGAGUCAUCACACAUCUCU
RNAcentral lists this ribosomal RNA (774 nucleotides) under uncultured Neocallimastigales. RNAcentral describes it as "partial large subunit ribosomal RNA". It matches the Rfam family "Eukaryotic large subunit ribosomal RNA", at positions 20 to 614 of the family's 3401-position model. The record is from RNAcentral. Lineage: Eukaryota; Fungi; Neocallimastigomycota; Neocallimastigomycetes; Neocallimastigales.